RNAcentral lists this ribosomal RNA (687 nucleotides) under uncultured bacterium. RNAcentral describes it as "bacterial SSU rRNA". It matches the Rfam family "Bacterial small subunit ribosomal RNA", at positions 102 to 788 of the family's 1533-position model. The record is from RNAcentral.
ACGGGUGCGUAACGCGUAUCAAACCUGCCUCAUACUCGGGGAUAGCCUUGCGAAAGUAAGAUUAAUACCCGAUGUUGUUAUGUUGCCGCAUGGUGAUAUAACCAAAGAUUUAUCGGUAUGAGAUGGUGAUGCGUCCGAUUAGGUAGUAGGCGGGGUAACGGCCCACCUAGCCUUCGAUCGGUAGGGGUUCUGAGAGGAAGGUCCCCCACACUGGAACUGAGACACGGUCCAGACUCCUACGGGAGGCAGCAGUGAGGAGUAUUGGUCAAUGGACGGAAGUCUGAACCAGCCAAGUAGCGUGCAGGAUGACGGCCCUCCGGGUUGUAAACUGCUUUUAGUUGGGAAUAAAAAAGAGGACGUGUCCUCUCUUGUAUGUACCUUCAGAAAAAGGACCGGCUAAUUCCGUGCCAGCAGCCGCGGUAAUACGGAAGGUCCAGGCGUUAUCCGGAUUUAUUGGGUUUAAAGGGAGCGUAGGCGGAUUAUUAAGUCAGUGGUGAAAGACGGUGGCUCAACCAUCGUUAGCCAUUGAAACUGGUAGUCUUGAGUGCAGACAGGGAUGCUGGAACUCGUGGUGUAGCGGUGAAAUGCUUAGAUAUCACGAUGAACUCCGAUCGCGAAGGCAGGUGUCCGGGCUGCAACUGACGCUGAGGCUCGAAAGUGUGGGUAUCAAACAGGAUUAGAUACCCU